This 447-nucleotide ribosomal RNA is filed under the name Osteocephalus taurinus (Manaus slender-legged treefrog). RNAcentral describes it as "partial 16S ribosomal RNA". The stretch from base 167 to 447 matches the Rfam family "Bacterial large subunit ribosomal RNA", at positions 569 to 999 of the family's 2925-position model. Lineage: Eukaryota; Metazoa; Chordata; Amphibia; Anura; Hylidae. The record is from RNAcentral.
GCCAAUAGUCUAGCCCCCCAACAUCUAAUGAAAUUAAACACCUUGUCACAAAAACUAAAACAUUUUAUUAAUCUAGUAAAGGCGAUUAAAAGAUUUGUAGGAGCAAUAUAAGCAGUACCGCAAGGGAAAGAUGAAAUAAAAAUGAAAUAAAUAUUAAGCACAAAAUAGUAGAGACUAGCCCUCGUACCUUUUGCAUCAUGGUUUAACAAGUCCAAUCAAGCAUAAAGACUUACAGUUUGACCUCCCGAAACUAAGUGAGCUACUUCAGGGCAGCUUAUUGAGCGAACCCGUCUCUGUUGCAAAAGAGUGGGAUGACCUUCAAGUAGGGGUGACAGACCUAACGAACUUAGUGAUAGCUGGUUGCUCAAGAAAAGGAUUUAAGUCCAGCCUAAAGUCUUCUUAGUUUAUCAAAACAUAACCUCGACUUUAGAGUAAUUCAAAUAAGAU